Non-coding RNA from Equus caballus (horse), 5128 nucleotides. Lineage: Eukaryota; Metazoa; Chordata; Mammalia; Perissodactyla; Equidae. The record is from RefSeq and is a predicted model, not a curated record.
CAUUCUGAGUUAAUUUUUACAUAUGGUAUAAAGUAAGCAUGCAACUUCAUGCUUAGGCACAUGGAUAUCCAGUUGUCCCAGCACCAUUUGUUGAAAAGGCUGUUCUUUUCCCAUUGAGUGGGGAUGUCAGUGAAGCUCGUUAAUUGAGUUAAUAUAUCAAAUCAUUAUGUUGUACACCUGAAACUCUUAUAAUGUUAUAUGUCAGAGUGUUUUCUCUUAAUAAAACAAAACCCCAAAAAUAUGCAACAGUUGAUGAAUAGGAUUCAAUUGUAAGGUUAUUAGGCUUUAUUAAAGACACAUGAGAGCUGCAAAACUGUCAAAACUAUAAAAAUAUCAAGUUGCACAUAUUUAUGAAAACAUCUAGCAUUUAUUGAGCUGUUACUGUGUUCCUAGCACUAUUCUAAGGGUUUUCAUAUAUUAACUCAAAUCUCAAAGCAACAACCCAGCAGGAACAAGACAGGCUGCCUGUUUUCGCCGCUCCUACUCAACCUAGUAUUGGAAUUUCGCUGCAUGGUAGGCAUCAGAUCAAUGGUACACAAAGAAAGAGCUUCGCUGACAACCCAGCCAUAAUAACCCCUGUCCUCCUCAUCUCUACUCUGUUUAUGUUUACUUUCUUCAAAGCACUCAUCCCCAUGGGGAAUUGCCCCGCUUAUUGAUUUAUUUACCUGCUCAUUGCCAGUUUUCCCAAACUAGAAUGAAACUCCAGGGACCCUGCCUGUCUUGUUCUCUGUGCUGUGUCCUCAGUGCCUAGUUCGGUGCCUCACAUAUACAUCAUUGAAUAAACAUUACUUACGUGAAGGAUUGGUUUCCUAUUUGACACACAGGAGCAGACACAGAUAUUUAAAGCUGAGUGACAGGAGAUAUUGACAGGGAAAUGAGACAUCAAAGGAUUCAAAAUUUUAAGAACACCUUGGAGUAAAUCCACAACAGUGCUUUCAUUUCAGCUGGAGAAAGUGUUCAAAAUGCAGACAUCUCCUAGCCCACCUCCUUGUUUCGGAUACAGCAUACCUAGAGUGGACCUAAAUCUGCAAUUUUAACAAGGAACUCUGAAUGAUUUUGAUGAGGUGCUCCAUGGACCACACUGGGGAGAAUUCUGACCUAAACAGCUGACAUUUCUGUAGCAUUAAUUUAAUGCCUACCAUGCAGAGUUCUAUAAUUUCUGGGAUGUCUCUGUUAAUGCAAUUACUCGAACAUGCACUGGUCCCUCCCUCUCACCUGUGAUGACAGAUUGUUUUCCCACGUGGAUUACACUUAAACUCCACAAUAUUCCUGGGUGGUCAGGAGCAAUGAGUACUGUUAUCCUGUUGUACAGAAGAUGCUGGAGGAAAGGGUAGUGACUCACCUAAAGUGUCCCAAUAUUGGGACCCUGAUCUCUUCACUCUUGUUCCAGGGACCUUUCUAGCACACUCGACUUCACGCUUGAUUCUUCUCUGUCAGCUCCUGCUUCCGAGGCUCAGAGUCCACACCCUUCUCUGAGGGUCCACUAGAAGGAGAGUCAGGGGAUAAGAGAGUUCAUGGACUGGAGAGGAAGGUAGAGGAUGGGAAAGCACAUGAACACAGGGAAAGGGGUGAGGAUGUCCUUGCCUGCCCCCCUCUUGUCCACUGGAAGCUGUGCAAUGAUGCUUCGCCUCUUCCCCAGCUCCAUCACACAGCCCGCCGUUAGGCAAUGCAGCAGAAAUUCCAAACGGUUCGGAAUGAAAUGUAAAAAAAGAAAUCCAAACAAAUAUUAGAAGAAAAUACAGGCCAAUUUGAUAAGACAUGGUGUGGACCUGUUAACACUACAAGAGCACAAUUAUGGGACUUUUUCACCUGAUUAGUUUAAUUGCAUCAGAGAAGUAUGAAUAUCUAUUCCGUCACAAUGAAUUCCUGGCAUCUUGAGUGGGCAGAGGAGAGGAAGAGAGCGUACACGUAUUGGGCCAUCAGAGGAGGGUGUGGACUCUGAGCCUCAGAAGCAGGAGCUGACAGAGAAGAACCAAGUGUGCUGGCGCGUGUGCAGACAGGUUCCUGGAGCAAGAGUGAGGAGAUCAGGGUCCCAUCACUGGGACACUUUAGUGGGCCGUCAGAGGAGGGUGUGGACUCUGAGCCUCAGAAGCAGGAGCUGACAGAGAAGAACCAAGUGUGCUGGCGCGUGUGCAGACAGGUUCCUGGAGCAAGAGUGAGGAGAUCAGGGUCCCAUCACUGGGACACUUUAGUUUCUCGAGAAUAAUACUGUGCACCAUAGCUCAGAAAGAAGAGGCUUUGCAGAAGAAUGCUGUCACAGAACACUGGGACUCUGGCUGGAGAAACCAUGAUGUACGGAGGUUAAGUAACCUGGCUGGGGGUCAUCGUGCUACCAAGACGAAAAGCAGAGACUGCUGCCUUCUGUGUCCAAAUGCCAACUGCAUGAUGCUCAGCUGCGAGCCACCUCCAAUCAAGUAGACCUUGCUCUCCUUCUGAGCCGUGUCACUCCUACAAUCUGCGUCUUCACUUCUGAUUCCAAAAUGCUAGUCCUGCCUGUGUUUAUACAAGUCAGUGUACAUGAUUCAACCUCAGUUUCCUAUUCUGUAAAAACAAGGGUGUGUGGAAAGAACACAAGGAAGGUUUUGGAGAGGAUGGAUAUGUUUAGGACCUUGGUUAUGGUCAUUGUGUUACAGGUGCAUGUGUAGGUCCAAACCUAUGAAGAUUUAUACGUUAAAUUGUGUAAUUUUUUGUCUAUCAGUUAUACCUCAAUGAAACUAUAAAAUCCAAUCUCUCCAGGAGGUAAGGUGUGGCAGUCUGCCUAAAUCUGCUUCUGCACACUGAAGUUAAGGGCUCCCAUUUUGCAGCCGUCUGGUGCAGAGUCCUAAGAAGCUGCAUCCUCUCAGCCACGCAACACCACGGGGUCCGUCAUCUGCAUGAAGAGCUCUGCCCUGGGACAUAAACAUUACACUUGCCUGCUCAACAACCACCUCUUUGUCACAUCUCUAGAUCUUGAGUGUUGAAAUGAGUGUUCAAAUGGAGACAGACAGGUCUUUCUCCAGGAGGAAAGGAUUUCCUUCCCCCAGGACAGAAUUCAGUUGCUUGGGUAGAGACAAGGAUUAUAUUGCUGUGCGAUCAGGUACGUAAAAGCCCGAGUUGUAAAUGCCUCCACAGAGUCAGAGUCUGAUGAUGUGAAGGCUGUGCUUUAGGCAAUGAGCUUUCAAAUUAAGCACGCGUUUUUUCCUCAGGUCCUGUACUUUUGCUUCAUUGAAAAGGAUUUUGCAGAUAACAAUCAUUUUUUCUGGUCACUUCAAUAAACUCUGUCUUAUUUCUUUUUCUUUCUUUCUCAAGGGAUUUCCGUUUAUGGAAUAAAUCAUCUGAAAUUAUAAUGUCUCAAAUUCUGUCAUGGGUAAAUGGGUUGUCUAAAUGCAUUGUCUAAUAUACCACAGCUAGGCAACGUAAUGGUGGUGAAAUAUAAUGGUGGCAGUAGGGAACUCUUGCAGGUUCCUGACUCUUAAGUCAGAAUACUUUUACUGUACCACAGAAAUCGGAAUGGUGAACUUUUGGGGAUGCAUCCCUUCAGUAACAUAACACAACCGUCAUAGUAAAAGCAGACGUGAAUCCUUACUGCUAAAAGUGUUUGAGUUAAUAAAGAAAUGGGUGACGGGAGACAAGCUGUCUUGAUCAAAUAUUUCUAAAUAAUGUAUGUAGAUACCCUGCCUCCAUGAAGUGAACCUUAGUUCUGCCUCCACCGCUGAGGGCAGGGCAUACUCAGUGACUCCCUUCUAAAGAACUGAGUCUGGGGGUGGAGAACAGUUCCUGUACCCUGGAGAACCUCGACAAACACCUCAGCCCAGCCAUGAGGGUCAACGUGUCCAGUGAUCCAGCGAUGUCACAUGGGUCUCAUGUCCUCCCAGAUAUCAUGUGCUGAGAAGGGCACUUGAACUCUGUGCUAUUCUUUCUCAAAACCUGUAAGCACAGUCUAAUCAAGAGAAAAAUAGCAGACUGUGCCUGCACUCCUCAAGGCUGUCAGGGUCAUGAAAACAGUCUGGCAGUUCCUCAAACAGUUCAACAGAGACUUACCACAUGACCCAGCGAUUCCACUCCUAGGUACACAGCCAGGAGAAAUGACGACACAUGUAUACCUAAAAACUUGCUCACAAAUGUACGUGGCAUCAUUAUUCAUAAUAGCCAAAAGUGGAAACAAGCCAGAUGUCCACCAGUUAAGGAAUGGACAAAUAAAAUGUGGGAUAUAAUUUGGCAAUGAAAAGGAAUGAAGUACUGAAACAUGCAACAACACGGGUGAACCUUGAAAACGGUAUGUCAGGUGAAAGAAUCCAAAUAUGCAAAGACCACAUAUUGUAUUGAAGGGGAGCAGAAUAUGCCACCUCAAAAUGCGCCACUUUGGCAUGUGGAUUAUUUUGAGGUGAAGACAAUCAAGGCCCAGAAGACUCAGGAAGAGCUUUCUACCCCCACCUUAACUGCCUGAAAGAAUUUAGAUACAGGCCCUGGUCCAGGAAGAGAGUUGUCACCAGAGAUAACUACAAAGAAUAUGCACUAGGUGUGGUGAGCUGGGGGUUGGGGGGACUCAGCAGGGUCUGUUUGUCCACAUUCCUCUCUGUGUCCCACUGUCUCUGCACAGCAUGGCAAACAUGUGUUUACCAAACCUUCAUUCAACCAUCUUCCUAUGAAUUGUCUUCCUUUCCUUUGAAGCCCCAGAACCUUAUCCCCUUCUCCUUAGCCCAGAGUGGCACAUAAACCUCAAAUGCCUGACUGUCGAGGAGCCUCUCAUACAUAUGUGGGGCUCCCAUACAUACGAAACUAAAUUUCUUUUUCUCCUGUUAAUCUGUCUUAUGUCAGUUUAAUUAUUAGACCAGCCAAAAGAACCUAGAGGGGUAGAGAAAAAUUUUUUUCUCCCCUGCAGUGUGAUUCCACUUAGAUGAAAUGUCCAGAAUAGGCAAGUCCAUGGAGAGAAAGCUAAUCUGUGGUUCCCGGGGCUGGCAAUGGGUGUGGACUUUAACUGCAUUCAAGCACAAUGGGACUUUUUGGGGUGAUGGAAACGUCUAAAACUCGAUUAUGGUAAUGGUUGUACAACUCUAUGCAGUUACUGAAAAUCAUCAAAAUGUAUGCUUAAAAUGUGUGGAUUUUGUUCUCUCUAAAUUAUAUUGCAAGAAAGCAGUUAAAAAUGUGA